GUAUAUGUUUAUAGCAUAGCAUUAAUGCACCAGAUUCCAUUAGAACUUUGUAGUUAAGCGCGCUCGGGCUAGAGUAGUAUUGGGAUGGGUGACUGCGUGGAAAGUCCUAUUUUUUUACAUGCC
Picea glauca (white spruce) is the source of this 123-nucleotide non-coding RNA. NCBI's taxonomy places the organism in Eukaryota, Viridiplantae, Streptophyta, Pinopsida, Pinales, Pinaceae. The record is from Rfam.